This 920-nucleotide ribosomal RNA is filed under the name uncultured bacterium. RNAcentral describes it as "bacterial SSU rRNA". It matches the Rfam family "Bacterial small subunit ribosomal RNA", at positions 33 to 955 of the family's 1533-position model. The record is from RNAcentral.
ACGCUGGCGGCGUGCCUAACACAUGCAAGUCGAACGAGAUGCGUAUUGGAAAGCUUCGGCCGGAAGAUACGUUAUCUAGUGGCGGACGGGUGAGUAACACGUGGGUAACCUGCCUUAUGGAGGGGGAUAACAGAGAGAAAUCACUGCUAAUACCGCAUAAGCACACAUUGCCGCAUGGCAGAGUGUGAAAAGAUUUAUCGCCAUAAGAUGGACCCGCGUCUGAUUAGCCAGUUGGCAGGGUAAAAGCCUACCAAAGCAACGAUCAGUAGCCGAUCUGAGAGGAUGACCGGCCACAUUGGGACUGAGACACGGCCCAAACUCCUACGGGAGGCAGCAGUGGGGAAUAUUGCACAAUGGGGGAAACCCUGAUGCAGCGACGCCGCGUGAGUGAAGAAGUAUUUCGGUAUGUAAAGCUCUAUCAGCAGGGAAGAUAAUGACAGUACCUGACUAAGAAGCCCCGGCUAACUACGUGCCAGCAGCCGCGGUAAUACGUAGGGGGCAAGCGUUAUCCGGAUUUACUGGGUGUAAAGGGAGCGUAGACGGAGUGGCAAGUCUGAAGUGAAAACCCUGGGCUUAACCUGGGGACUGCUUUGGAAACUGUUAAUCUAGAGUGUUGGAGAGGUAAGUGGAAUUCCUGGUGUAGCGGUGAAAUGCGUAGAUAUCAGGAAGAACACCGGAGGCGAAGGCGGCUUACUGGACAAUAACUGACGUUGAGGCUCGAAAGCGUGGGGAUCAAACAGGAUUAGAUACCCUGGUAGUCCACGCUGUAAACGAUGAAUACUAGGUGUCGGGGUGCAAAGCAUCUCGGUGCCGUCGCUAACGCAAUAAGUAUUCCACCUGGGGAGUACGUUCGCAAGAAUGAAACUCAAAGGAAUUGACGGGGACCCGCACAAGCGGUGGAGCAUGUGGUUUAAUUCGAA